AGUGAACGCUGGCGGUAGGCCUAACACAUGCAAGUCGAACGGCAGCACAGUAAGAGCUUGCUCUUACGGGUGGCGAGUGGCGGACGGGUGAGGAAUACAUCGGAAUCUACUUUUUCGUGGGGGAUAACGUAGGGAAACUUACGCUAAUACCGCAUACGACCUACGGGUGAAAGCAGGGGAUCUUCGGACCUUGCGCGUUUGAAUGAGCCGAUGUCGGAUUAGCUAGUUGGCGGGGUAAAGGCCCACCAAGGCGACGAUCCGUAGCUGGUCUGAGAGGAUGAUCAGCCACACUGGAACUGAGACACGGUCCAGACUCCUAAGGGAGGCAGCAGUGGGGAAUAUUGGACAAUGGGCGCAAGCCUGAUCCAGCCAUACCGCGUGGGUGAAGAAGGCCUUCGGGUUGUAAAGCCCUUUUGUUGGGAAAGAAAAGCAGCAGGUUAAUACCCCGCUGUUCUGACGGUACCCAAAGAAUAAGCACCGGCUAACUUCGUG
This 492-nucleotide ribosomal RNA is filed under the name uncultured bacterium. Its description in RNAcentral is "partial 16S ribosomal RNA". It matches the Rfam family "Bacterial small subunit ribosomal RNA", at positions 29 to 507 of the family's 1533-position model. The record is from RNAcentral.